AGCCAUGGACAUGUCAUUUGAUCUUGAGACGCCAUCAUCUUUGUGGGCAUAUGGCAUUUCGCAAUCAGAGGAAUUUCUUGCCUUGGGGAUCCAGAAUACAUCCCCAAAAGGACAAGAGAGAUAAAGAGAGAGAGAGAGAGUUCGCUUUUUCUUUUUCCUUUUCAUGUGCUUCUUAACGAAUUAGAAGGAGGGUGAUCAUCCAAAAAGUUGGAACACCAUCAAGGAAAAACCCAAGUUGAGUCAUUUCGAUUCGAUUUCAAAUUAUAAAAAAUAUAUAUAUACAUUAACAUAUAUGUAUAAUAUCUUGAUGAAUAAGAAGAAAAUUAUGGGUUCCACCUCCUCCAACUGGGGUACAAUGUGCAGCAGACUCAUGAACAAGGAGAGGCUCGAGUCAGAGAGAGGGUGGCCACCACCCUGGACUGACACCAUGAUGAAUUCAAGCACUGGGUUCGGGCCUGCCAGAGAUGUUUCCUCCCCCCCAAAACCUCAAAUUAGAUAAAAGGACCCUCUCUGCCCGGCAAAGUUGGACUCUGUCGUCAACAGUGAUGUAUUUUGCUAUGUUGCAAGGGGCUCCUCUUCAGGUUCUCUCAGCUUUCUUUCUAGCCAAGCAAUGUCCUCGCCAGGUCCCGAGUCUUGGCACGAAGAGGCAAGACUAGAAAGCUGAGCCUGAGGGACAUCUGAAGAUCGAUCUCUUGCGAUGUUUAGGAAAAUAUGGUGGUGGCAAAGGAAGAAAUUGGGGCGUGCGGGAUUUGAUUCUUUUCCGUUGAUAGAGUUUCGAUUCUGGGAAAUUAGAAAGAGUUGUUAUAUCGCGUGCUAAAGAUGCAGUCCAGAUUCCACCAUCGAUAGAAUAAAUUUGAGUAUUUCGUUUCCUUUUAAAAGAACUCUCUUUUUUUUCAUCUUUAUCUUUACUUGUGCAAUACCCAUUUUUCUAUUUCUCUAAAUGAAUUCGAAUGCUUUUAGUCUUUUUGGCUAAAACAAAAUUGAGUCA
This is a long non-coding RNA of Eucalyptus grandis, 988 nucleotides long. RefSeq lists it as uncharacterized. The transcript is spliced from 2 exons. The record is from RefSeq and is a predicted model, not a curated record. NCBI's taxonomy places the organism in Eukaryota, Viridiplantae, Streptophyta, Magnoliopsida, Myrtales, Myrtaceae.